GGGUUGUGAGGUUAAGCGACUAAGCGUACACGGUGGAUGCCCUGGCAGUCAGAGGCGAUGAAGGACGUGCUAAUCUGCGAUAAGCGUCGGUGAGGUGAUAUGAACCGUUAUAACCGGCGAUUUCCGAAUGGGGAAACCCAGUGUGUUUCGACACACUAUCAUUAACUGAAUCCAUAGGUUAAUGAGGCGAACCGGGGGAACUGAAACAUCUAAGUACCCCGAGGAAAAGAAAUCAACCGAGAUUCCCCCAGUAGCGGCGAGCGAACGGGGAGGAGCCCAGAGCCUGAAUCAGUGUGUGUGUUAGUGGAAGCGUCUGGAAAGGCGCGCGAUACAGGGUGACAGCCCCGUACACAAAAAUGCACAUAUUGUGAGCUCGAUGAGUAGGGCGGGACACGUGGUAUCCUGUCUGAAUAUGGGGGGACCAUCCUCCAAGGCUAAAUACUCCUGACUGACCGAUAGUGAACCAGUACCGUGAGGGAAAGGCGAAAAGAACCCCGGCGAGGGGAGUGAAAAAGAACCUGAAACCGUGUACGUACAAGCAGUGGGAGCCUCUUAAUGGGGUGACUGCGUACCUUUUGUAUAAUGGGUCAGCGACUUAUAUUCUGUAGCAAGGUUAACCGAAUAGGGGAGCCGAAGGGAAACCGAGUCUUAACUGGGCGUUAAGUUGCAGGGUAUAGACCCGAAACCCGGUGAUCUAGCCAUGGGCAGGUUGAAGGUUGGGUAACACUAACUGGAGGACCGAACCGACUAAUGUUGAAAAAUUAGCGGAUGACUUGUGGCUGGGGGUGAAAGGCCAAUCAAACCGGGAGAUAGCUGGUUCUCCCCGAAAGCUAUUUAGGUAGCGCCUCGUGAAUUCAUCUCCGGGGGUAGAGCACUGUUUCGGCAAGGGGGUCAUCCCGACUUACCAACCCGAUGCAAACUGCGAAUACCGGAGAAUGUUAUCACGGGAGACACACGGCGGGUGCUAACGUCCGUCGUGAAGAGGGAAACAACCCAGACCGCCAGCUAAGGUCCCAAAGUCAUGGUUAAGUGGGAAACGAUGUGGGAAGGCCCAGACAGCCAGGAUGUUGGCUUAGAAGCAGCCAUCAUUUAAAGAAAGCGUAAUAGCUCACUGGUCGAGUCGGCCUGCGCGGAAGAUGUAACGGGGCUAAACCAUGCACCGAAGCUGCGGCAGCGACGCUUAUGCGUUGUUGGGUAGGGGAGCGUUCUGUAAGCCUGUGAAGGUGUGCUGUGAGGCAUGCUGGAGGUAUCAGAAGUGCGAAUGCUGACAUAAGUAACGAUAAAGCGGGUGAAAAGCCCGCUCGCCGGAAGACCAAGGGUUCCUGUCCAACGUUAAUCGGGGCAGGGUGAGUCGACCCCUAAGGCGAGGCCGAAAGGCGUAGUCGAUGGGAAACAGGUUAAUAUUCCUGUACUUGGUGUUACUGCGAAGGGGGGACGGAGAAGGCUAUGUUGGCCGGGCGACGGUUGUCCCGGUUUAAGCGUGUAGGCUGGUUUUCCAGGCAAAUCCGGAAAACCAAGGCUGAGGCGUGAUGAC
RNAcentral lists this ribosomal RNA (1534 nucleotides) under Escherichia coli. RNAcentral describes it as "partial 23S ribosomal RNA". It matches the Rfam family "Bacterial large subunit ribosomal RNA", at positions 1 to 1570 of the family's 2925-position model. The record is from RNAcentral. Lineage: Bacteria; Pseudomonadati; Pseudomonadota; Gammaproteobacteria; Enterobacterales; Enterobacteriaceae.